This is a long non-coding RNA of Stegostoma tigrinum, 346 nucleotides long. RefSeq lists it as uncharacterized. Lineage: Eukaryota; Metazoa; Chordata; Chondrichthyes; Orectolobiformes; Stegostomatidae. The record is from RefSeq and is a predicted model, not a curated record. The transcript has 3 exons.
CUCCCACCGUGCAGCCCAUCCCCCCACAAAAUGUCAAUUUCAUAUUAACAGAGAUAUAAAAUGCAUAACUUGAUGAAAACCACAGAUAAAGUCACAGGAGGUCAUUCACAUUAUAUUGUUGGAUAAUGUGACAAAGCCAGUGAGUCCAAGAGAUGAGGUCGAAAGUCAGGUGAAGAUGACAGUUCAGUGAAAUGUUGACAUACCCUCUUCUAAAAAAAAGCAAACUACAUAUUGAAGUGGAGCAAAACCAAUGGGAGCUGUCCAAGGAGACUGCCUGUGUUGCUGGCCAUCUGAAUCACAGAGUUUGUCGCCGCUGAUGUGAAAAGGGGGAAUGGUUUGCCUUAGA